AUUGAACGCUGGCGGCAGGCCUAACACAUGCAAGUCGAACGGUAACAGGAAGCAGCUUGCUGCUUCGCUGACGAGUGGCGGACGGGUGAGUAAUGUCUGGGAAGCUGCCUGAUGGAGGGGGAUAACUACUGGAAACGGUAGCUAAUACCGCAUAAUGUCGCAAGACCAAAGAGGGGGACCUUCGGGCCUCUUGCCAUCGGAUGUGCCCAGAUGGGAUUAGCUUGUUGGUGGGGUAACGGCUCACCAAGGCGACGAUCCCUAGCUGGUCUGAGAGGAUGACCAGCCACACUGGAACUGAGGCACGGUCCAGACUCCUACGGGAGGCAGCAGUGGGGAAUAUUGCACAAUGGGCGCAAGCCUGAUGCAGCCAUGCCGCGUGUAUGAAGAAGGCCUUCGGGUUGUAAAGUACUUUCAGCGGGGAGGAAGGGAGUAAAGUUAAUACCUUUGCUCAUUGACGUUACCCGCAGAAGAAGCACCGGCUAACUCCGUG
Molecule: ribosomal RNA, 490 nt
Filed under: uncultured bacterium
Lineage: Bacteria
Description: partial 16S ribosomal RNA
Rfam family: Bacterial small subunit ribosomal RNA
Source: RNAcentral